GUUGUUUUGGCCGAGUGGUUAAGCGUGUGCCUGCUAAGUACAUGGGAUUUCCCGCGAGAGUUCAAAUCUCUCAAGCAAUG
RNAcentral lists this transfer RNA (80 nucleotides) under Ipomoea nil (Japanese morning glory). It matches the Rfam family "tRNA". Rfam says of the family: Transfer RNA (tRNA) molecules are approximately 80 nucleotides in length. Their secondary structure includes four short double-helical elements and three loops (D, anti-codon, and T loops). Further hydrogen bonds mediate the characteristic L-shaped molecular structure. tRNAs have two regions of fundamental functional importance: the anti-codon, which is responsible for specific mRNA codon recognition, and the 3' end, to which the tRNAs corresponding amino acid is attached (by aminoacyl-tRNA synthetases). tRNAs cope with the degeneracy of the genetic code in two manners: having more than one tRNA (with a specific anti-codon) for a particular amino acid; and 'wobble' base-pairing, i.e. permitting non-standard base-pairing at the 3rd anti-codon position. The record is from Rfam by way of RNAcentral. Lineage: Eukaryota; Viridiplantae; Streptophyta; Magnoliopsida; Solanales; Convolvulaceae.